ACGUAGGGGGCGAGCGUUGUCCGGAUUUACUGGGCGUAAAGCGCGCGUAGGCGGGCCUUUAAGUCGGGGGUGAAAUGCCGAGGCUUAACCUCGGAACUGCCUUCGAAACUGGAGGUCUUGAGGUGCGGAGAGGGAAGUGGAAUUCCUGGUGUAGCGGUGAAAUGCGUAGAUAUCAGGAGGAACACCCGUGGCGAAGGCGGCUUCCUGGCCGUGUCCUGACGCUGAGGUGCGAAAGCUAGGGUAGCGAACGG
This 251-nucleotide ribosomal RNA is filed under the name uncultured prokaryote. RNAcentral's name for it is "partial 16S rRNA". It matches the Rfam family "Bacterial small subunit ribosomal RNA", at positions 525 to 775 of the family's 1533-position model. The record is from RNAcentral.